GACGAACGCUGGCGGCGUGCUUAACACAUGCAAGUCGAACGGAAAGGCCCUGCUUUUGUGGGGUGCUCGAGUGGCGAACGGGUGAGUAACACGUGAGUAACCUGCCCUUGACUUUGGGAUAACUUCAGGAAACUGGGGCUAAUACCGGAUAGGAGCUCCUGCUGCAUGGUGGGGGUUGGAAAGUUUCGGCGGUUGGGGAUGGACUCGCGGCUUAUCAGCUUGUUGGUGGGGUAGUGGCUUACCAAGGCUUUGACGAGUAGCCGGCCUGAGAGGGUGACCGGCCACAUUUGGACUGAGAUACAGCCCAGACUCCUACGGGAGGCAGCAGUGGAGAAUAUUGCACAAUGGGCGGAAGCCUGAUGCAGCAACGCCGCGUGCGGGAUGACGGCCUUCGGGUUGUAAACCGCUUUCGCCUGUGACGAAGCGUGAGUGACGGUAAUGGGUAAAGAAGCACCGGCUAACUACGUG
RNAcentral lists this ribosomal RNA (468 nucleotides) under uncultured bacterium. RNAcentral's name for it is "partial 16S ribosomal RNA". It matches the Rfam family "Bacterial small subunit ribosomal RNA", at positions 28 to 507 of the family's 1533-position model. The record is from RNAcentral.